GACGAACGCUGGCGGCGUGCUUAACACAUGCAAGUCGAACGGAAAGGCCCUGCUUGCAGGGUGCUCGAGUGGCGAACGGGCGAGUAACACGUGGGUGAUCUGCCCCUUACUUUGGGUUAAGCCUGGUAAACUGGGUCUAAUACUGGAUAGGACCAUGCUGUAGGCGGUGUGGUGGAAAGAUUAGUUUCGGUUAGAGAUGAGCUCGCGGCCUAUCAGCUUGUAGGUGGGGUAUUGGCCUACCAAGGCGUCGACGGGUAGCCGGCCAGAGUGGGUGGGAGGCAACAUCGAGACUGAUACACGAGGCAGAAGCCUACGGGAGGCAGCAGUGGGGAAUAUUGCACAAUAGCAGCAAGCCUGGUGCAGCGACGCCGCGUGGAGGAUGACGGCCUUCGGGUUGUAAACUCCUUUCGGCCAUGACGAAGCGCUUGUGGUGACGGUAGUGGUAGAAGAAGCACCGGCUAACUACGUG
RNAcentral lists this ribosomal RNA (469 nucleotides) under uncultured bacterium. RNAcentral describes it as "partial 16S ribosomal RNA". It matches the Rfam family "Bacterial small subunit ribosomal RNA", at positions 28 to 507 of the family's 1533-position model. The record is from RNAcentral.